Sorghum bicolor (sorghum) is the source of this 449-nucleotide long non-coding RNA. RefSeq lists it as uncharacterized. The record is from RefSeq and is a predicted model, not a curated record. The transcript is spliced from 3 exons. NCBI's taxonomy places the organism in Eukaryota, Viridiplantae, Streptophyta, Magnoliopsida, Poales, Poaceae.
UCUUGCUAAGCAGUUGGUCAAUUUGCAUCUGCACUCGAUCAGACAGCUGUUUUGCUUGAUACAGAUGGCUGAAGUUGUCUGCCAAGUUCUGCAACCUUAACGGAUACGCCACCGGUACCCUAAACAGCCGAGUACACUCUGCACACAUACAAUCAGUAAAUCCUGCAUCUUGAUGAGUAACACCAUCAAGCUCCACGUUUAUCCAUGCCACACCUAGAGUUCAGAUGGUCGCUGGAGGAGAUGCUCUUGGCAACAAUACAACACUCUUGAUUCAGUAAGUACCACUAAGCCUGUACAAUUUGUUUGUGUGAUUAUUAAAACGUUGGUGUUUAUUCACACAUCUUAGUGCUUUUGGUUUGUUAUAUACCUAUGGGCAUCAUUGAAAAUUUUGAAUUUGGUAAUUACACUACAUUAUACAAUUUGUAGAGUAUCAGUUUGUUCUCCACUCA